UGGGGAAUUUUGUGCAAUGGGGGAAACCCUGACACAGCGACACCGCGUGAAGGAUGAAGUAUUUCGGUAUGUAAACUUCGAAAGAAUAGGAAGAAUAAAUGACGGUACUAUUUAUAAGGUCCGGCUAACUACGUGCCAGCAGCCGCGGUAAUACGUAGGGACCAAGCGUUGUUCGGAUUUACUGGGCGUAAAGGGCGCGUAGGCGGCGUGGUAAGUCACUUGUGAAAUCUCCGAGCUUAACUCGGAACGGUCAAGUGAUACUGCUGUGCUAGAGUACAGAAGGGGCAAUCGGAAUUCUUGGUGUAGCGGUGAAAUGCGUAGAUAUCAAGAGGAACACCUGAGGUGAAGACGGGUUGCUGGGCUGACACUGACGCUGAGGCGCGAAAGCCAGGGGAGCAAACGGGAUUAGAUACCCAUGUAGUCCCUGAGCGGGCUGGCAAGGCGCAU
Molecule: ribosomal RNA, 447 nt
Filed under: uncultured bacterium
Lineage: Bacteria
Description: bacterial SSU rRNA
Rfam family: Bacterial small subunit ribosomal RNA
Source: RNAcentral